Drosophila melanogaster (fruit fly) is the source of this 671-nucleotide non-coding RNA. NCBI's taxonomy places the organism in Eukaryota, Metazoa, Arthropoda, Insecta, Diptera, Drosophilidae. The record is from Ensembl.
AACACUGUGCGUCAACAUAAGCGGCUCGGGAAUACUUAGAAGCGGAAAAUAUCCGAACACAAUCGCUUUGCGCAAUCAGCGGGAAAACAAAAGACUUAGGCAACAAACUUGACUCGCUGCCAAUUGCCAAAUCAUGCAGCACUGGUAACAGCAGCCGAUACAAAAAUUACUUACGCCUGCGAAGAAGGCUUACACAAAUGGGUUAGUGUGGCACUAGCCAGCAAUAAUAACAAAAAAAAAAAACACAAUUGCGGAAGCCAUCAAGUGUUUGGUAUGCGCAUUACUCAUGCGAACGCCCGUUUGACGUCGUUUUCAUUAUCAACAGUCCGCAGUGCUGCCGCCUGGCCAAAUAUGCAGACGGGCCGACCAAACACAUAUGUACGAAUCGCCUGUAUAUAUCUUCAUCCGUAUUUUGCACGCUUCUCGACGGCUGGCAACACCCCUGGCAUCCAUGUGUUUCUGCAAUUACUCCAAAGGCACGUACCGUCAUCGUCAUGUGACUUUGCACAUGAUUUCCUACCACCAACACAGGCAACAGGAAAAUCAGCAACGCCAGCGACAGCAGUAAAUACUACCACAAAGGCGUGGAACAAACAAGAAAGCGAAAGUGUUUUCCACAAAAGUCGAGUCCUGCAUACUCUACUGACAAAACUUAAAUAAUCAGCUAGCUC